CCUGGCUCAGGACGAACGCUGGCGGCACGCUUAACACAUGCAAGUCGAACGAGAGAAGAGAAGCUUGCUUUUCUGAUCUAGUGGCGGACGGGUGAGUAACACGUGAGCAAUCUGCCUUUCAGAGGGGGAUACCGAUUGGAAACGAUCGUUAAUACCGCAUAAUAUAAUUGAACCGCAUGAUUUGAUUAUCAAAGAUUUAUCGCUGAAAGAUGAGCUCGCGUCUGAUUAGCUAGUUGGUAAGGUAACGGCUUACCAAGGCGACGAUCAGUAGCCGGACUGAGAGGUUGAUCGGCCACAUUGGGACUGAGACACGGCCCAGACUCCUACGGGAGGCAGCAGUGGGGAAUAUUGCACAAUGGAGGAAACUCUGAUGCAGCGAUGCCGCGUGAGGGAAGAAGGUUUUAGGAUUGUAAACCUCUGUCUUCAGGGACGAAAAAAGACGGUACCUGAGGAGGAAGCUCCGGCUAACUACGUGCCAGCAGCCGCGGUAAUACGUAGGGAGCGAGCGUUGUCCGGAAUUACUGGGUGUAAAGGGAGCGUAGGCGGGAUCGCAAGUCAGAUGUGAAAACUAUGGGCUUAACCCAUAAACUGCAUUUGAAACUGUGGUUCUUGAGUGAAGUAGAGGUAAGCGGAAUUCCUAGUGUAGCGGUGAAAUGCGUAGAUAUUAGGAGGAACAUCAGUGGCGAAGGCGGCUUACUGGGCUUUAACUGACGCUGAGGCUCGAAAGCGUGGGGAGCAAACAGGAUUAGAUACCCUGGUAGUCCACGCCGUAAACGAUGAUUACUAGGUGUGGGGGGACUGACCCCUUCCGUGCCGCAGCAAACGCAAUAAGUAAUCCACCUGGGGAGUACGACCGCAAGGUUGAAACUCAAAGGAAUUGACGGGGGCCCGCACAAGCAGUGGAGUAUGUGGAUUAAUUCGAAGCAACGCGAAGAACCUUACCAGGUCUUGACAUCGUAUGCAUAGCUCAGAGAUGAGUGAAAUCUCUUCGGAGACAUAUAGACAGGUGGUGCAUGGUUGUCGUCAGCUCGUGUCGUGAGAUGUUGGGUUAAGUCCCGCAACGAGCGCAACCCUUACUGUUAGUUGCUACGCAAGAGCACUCUAGCAGGACUGCCGUUGACAAAACGGAGGAAGGUGGGGAUGACGUCAAAUCAUCAUGCCCCUUAUGACCUGGGCCUCACACGUACUACAAUGGCUGUCAACAGAGGGAAGCAAAGCCGCGAGGUGGAGCGAACCCCUAAAAGCAGUCUUAGUUCGGAUUGUAGGCUGCAACCCGCCUACAUGAAGUCGGAAUUGCUAGUAAUCGCAGAUCAGCAUGCUGCGGUGAAUACGUUCCCGGGCCUUGUACACACCGCC
RNAcentral lists this ribosomal RNA (1356 nucleotides) under uncultured bacterium. RNAcentral describes it as "bacterial SSU rRNA". It matches the Rfam family "Bacterial small subunit ribosomal RNA", at positions 18 to 1394 of the family's 1533-position model. The record is from RNAcentral.